RNAcentral lists this ribosomal RNA (378 nucleotides) under uncultured bacterium. Its description in RNAcentral is "bacterial SSU rRNA". It matches the Rfam family "Bacterial small subunit ribosomal RNA", at positions 521 to 895 of the family's 1533-position model. The record is from RNAcentral.
UAAUACGGGGGGAGCAAGCGUUGUUCGGAUUUACUGGGCGUAAAGGGCGCGUAGGCGGCCACCGCAAGUCGACUGUGAAAUCUCCGGGCUUAACUCGGAAAGGUCAGCCGAUACUGCGGGGCUAGAGUGCAGAAGGGGCAACUGGAAUUCUCGGUGUAGCGGUGAAAUGCGUAGAUAUCGAGAGGAACACCUGCGGCGAAGGCGGGUUGCUGGGCUGACACUGACGCUGAAGCGCGAAAGCUAGGGGAGCGAACGGGAUUAGAUACCCCGGUAGUCCUAGCCUUAAACGAUGAAUGCUUGGUGUCUGGGGUUUUAUAGUCCCCGGGUGCCGUCGCUAACGCUUUAAGCAUUCCGCCUGGGGAGUACGGUCGCAAGACU